This 267-nucleotide unclassified non-coding RNA is filed under the name Hevea brasiliensis (rubber tree). Lineage: Eukaryota; Viridiplantae; Streptophyta; Magnoliopsida; Malpighiales; Euphorbiaceae. The record is from RNAcentral.
GGACAAUAGAUGAUUGCUCACUCUUAAAUCACAAUCACCAACCACUACAUAUAUGAUUGUGAUAGAGUUCGAUCAAUACUGCACAAGACUUGGCAUCUUCGUCGAAACAAUUUUGAAAUCCAUCGCAUUAAUUGGAGAUACCAUUCAGCAAGCUGAGAAAGUGAAGAAUGCAUGACAUCAUGAGAUACACAUAGAUGUUCCCAGAGCGAGGAGGCGGAAUGUAAGUCAAGUUUAGAUCCAUUCUAAGAGAAAACAAGUUGAUGAAAG